ACGCUUCAGCAGCCCAUACAGCAAAACUGGAUCAAUAGAGGUUAGCACUGCCCUGCAUAAGAAUGACAGGCAGAUUCAGGAAGGAGUCCAUAUUUUU
This 97-nucleotide small nuclear RNA is filed under the name Peromyscus maniculatus bairdii (prairie deer mouse). Lineage: Eukaryota; Metazoa; Chordata; Mammalia; Rodentia; Cricetidae. The record is from RNAcentral.